GAUGAACGCUGGCGGCGUGCCUAAUACAUGCAAGUCGAGCGAACGGACGAGAAGCUUGCUUCUUUGAUGUUAGCGGCGGACGGGUGAGUAACACGUGGAUAACCUACCUAUAAGACUGGGAUAACUUCGGGAAACCGGAGCUAAUACCGGAUAAUAUUUUGAACCGCAUGGUUCAAAAGUGAAAGACGGUCUUGCUGUCACUUAUAGAUGGAUCCGCGCUGCAUUAGCUAGUUGGUAAGGUAACGGCUUACCAAGGCAACGAUGCAUAGCCGACCUGAGAGGGUGAUCGGCCACACUGGAACUGAGACACGGUCCAGACUCCUACGGGAGGCAGCAGUAGGGAAUCUUCCGCAAUGGGCGAAAGCCUGACGGAGCAACGCCGCGUGAGUGAUGAAGGUCUUCGGAUCGUAAAACUCUGUUAUUAGGGAAGAACAUAUGUGUAAGUAACUGUGCACAUCUUGACGGUACCUAAUCAGAAAGCCACGGCUAACUACGUG
RNAcentral lists this ribosomal RNA (497 nucleotides) under uncultured bacterium. RNAcentral describes it as "partial 16S ribosomal RNA". It matches the Rfam family "Bacterial small subunit ribosomal RNA", at positions 28 to 507 of the family's 1533-position model. The record is from RNAcentral.